Ovis aries (sheep) is the source of this 72-nucleotide transfer RNA. It matches the Rfam family "tRNA". Rfam says of the family: Transfer RNA (tRNA) molecules are approximately 80 nucleotides in length. Lineage: Eukaryota; Metazoa; Chordata; Mammalia; Artiodactyla; Bovidae. The record is from Rfam.
UCCUUAGUAGCUCAGAUGGUAAAGCAUCUGCCUGUAAUGCAGGAGACCCAGGUUCGAUCCCUUGGUCAGGAA